RNAcentral lists this ribosomal RNA (428 nucleotides) under uncultured bacterium. Its description in RNAcentral is "partial 16S ribosomal RNA". It matches the Rfam family "Bacterial small subunit ribosomal RNA", at positions 354 to 796 of the family's 1533-position model. The record is from RNAcentral.
GUGGGGAAUAUUGCACAAUGGGGGAAACCCUGAUGCAGCGACGCCGCGUGAGUGAUGAAGGCCUUCGGGUCGUAAAGCUCUGUCGUAUGGGACUAACAAAAUGAAGGUACCAUGCAAGAAAGGAUCGGCUAACUUCGUGCCAGCAGCCGCGGUAAGACGAGGGAUCCUAGCGUUGUUCGGAAUUAUUGGGCGUAAAGCGGGUGUAGGCGGGCCUGUCAGUCAGGUGUGAAAUCCCAGGGCUUAACCCUGGAAGUGCACUUGAUACUGCAGGUCUUGAGUGUGGUAGAGGCUAUUAGAAUUCUUGGUGUAGUGGUGAAAUACGUAGAUAUCAAGAGGAAUACCGGAGGCGAAGGCGGAUAGUUGGGCCAACACUGACGCUGAGACCCGAAAGCGUGGGGAUCAAACAGGAUUAGAUACCCUAGUAGUCC